RNAcentral lists this transfer RNA (560 nucleotides) under uncultured bacterium. Its description in RNAcentral is "16S-23S ribosomal RNA intergenic spacer". The stretch from base 196 to 268 matches the Rfam family "tRNA". The record is from RNAcentral.
CUAAGGAAAAUGGAAGCACGUUUGGGAUCUUUAUUUAGUUUUGAGAGGUCUUUGUGGGGCCUUAGCUCAGCUAAGCGACAACGAAUGUUGGCGCUUUGUCGAAACUAGCGGAGCUAGUGCACGACAGGGAACAGCGAAAGACAACAAAGAUAUAGUAAAGAAAGUACUAAUAAAGUAUUAACCCGUUUAUUAGUCGGGGCCUUAGCUCAGCUGGGAGAGCGCCUGCUUUGCACGCAGGAGGUCAGCGGUUCGAUCCCGCUAGGCUCCAUAGGAUACAUCCUAACAACAAUUAACAAAUUGAAGUUGAACACGCAACUAACUUCUUAGGAAAAUAGAGUAUCUUCCUAGUGUGCAAGCACACAGUGUCAGAUACCUAAUUUUCUAAAGAAGUUUCGCAAAAGCGAACGUUGCUUAGUAUCCUAGUGAUAGUCCAUUGAAAAUUGAAUAUCUAUAUCAAAUUCCACAAUCAAUAAAAAAAUUGAUUGUAAGAAUAGUAACAAGAAAAUAAACCGAAAACGCUGUAAGUAUUUAAUGAGUUUAGAUCGCAAGAUCAAAAAUAA